Molecule: ribosomal RNA, 253 nt
Filed under: uncultured bacterium
Lineage: Bacteria
Description: partial 16S ribosomal RNA
Rfam family: Bacterial small subunit ribosomal RNA
Source: RNAcentral
UACGUAGGGUGCGAGCGUUAAUCGGAAUUACUGGGCGUAAAGCGUGCGCAGGCGGUUCUCCAAGUCCGUUGUGAAAGCCCCGGGCUCAACCUGGGAAUGGCAGUGGAAACUAGGGAACUUGAAUCUGGCAGAGGGGGGUGGAAUGCCGCGUGUAGCAGUGAAAUGCGUAGAGAUGCGGCGGAACACCGAUGGCGAAGGCAGCCCCCUGGGCUGAGAUUGACGCUCAGGCACGAAAGCGUGGGGAGCAAACAGG